This is a long non-coding RNA of Gossypium raimondii (Peruvian cotton), 478 nucleotides long. RefSeq lists it as uncharacterized. The transcript is spliced from 2 exons. Lineage: Eukaryota; Viridiplantae; Streptophyta; Magnoliopsida; Malvales; Malvaceae. The record is from RefSeq and is a predicted model, not a curated record.
UGUUUGAUUUGUUGUAAUUGACCAUUACGGGCUCAAUGGAAUCAAUCUCUAUUACAGUAGGAUCUGUAAUAACAAUUCAAGGGUUUGGGGUCUGAAUUGGCUAUUCAAUAAAACCCGUGUUCACAUUUCGUUUUCUUUUUGGACCAAAAUAUUCUGGCAAUGUCUUACCAGAACUUCAUUCAUUUUGCUCUUUGAAACUAAACGACAUACCCUUUUGCUUCCUUCUCCUCUACAGGUAUUCUUGUUGAUAUUUUUCUCAGAAUUGGGAGACAAAACUUUUUUCAUUGCGGUUAGGCUGAAUCCUUAGAGUAAUAUUUCAUUUGUGUCUAGAAAGAAUCUGUCAAUUGCCUUAUAUGCUAUUCUAUUUAUCACAAGUAUUAGUUUUGUAUCUUAUUUGUAUUCAGAUAACUUAAACCCUAUGUUGUUCACUAUUCUACUAUUCUUAUUUUUGGUUGGAUAGAUACCAUGGUUGUUAAUC